GACGAACGCUGGCGGCGUGCUUAACACAUGCAAGUCGAACGGAAAGGCCCUGCUUUUGUGGGGUGCUCGAGUGGCGAACGGGUGAGUAACACGUGAGUAACCUGCCCUUGACUUUGGGAUAACUUCAGGAAACUGGGGCUAAUACCGGAUAGGAGCUCCUGCUGCAUGGUGGGGGUUGGAAAGUUUCGGCGGUUGGGGAUGGACUCGCGACUUAUCAGCUUGUUGGUGGGGUAGUGGCUUACCAAGGCUUUGACGGGUAGCCGGCCUGAGAGGGUGACCGGCCACAUUGGGACUGAGAUACGGCCCAGACUCCUACGGGUGGCAGCAGUGGGGAAUAUUGCACAAUGGGCGGAAGCCUGAUGCAGCAACGCCGCGUGCGGGAUGACGGCCUUCGGGUUGUAAACCGCUUUCGCCUGUGACGAAGCGUGAGUGACGGUAAUGGGUAAAGAAGCACCGGCUAACUACGUG
RNAcentral lists this ribosomal RNA (468 nucleotides) under uncultured bacterium. Its description in RNAcentral is "partial 16S ribosomal RNA". It matches the Rfam family "Bacterial small subunit ribosomal RNA", at positions 28 to 507 of the family's 1533-position model. The record is from RNAcentral.